UACGUAGGGUGCAAGCGUUAUCCGGAAUUAUUGGGCGUAAAGAGCUCGUAGGCGGUUUGUCGCGUCUGCUGUGAAAACUCGAGGCUCAACCUCGAGACGCCGGUUGAAACCAUCUGACUAGAGUCCGGAAGAGGAGAGUGGAAUUCCUGGUGUAGCGGUGAAAUGCGCAGAUAUCAGGAAGAACACCCGUGGCUAAGGCGGCUCUCUAGUACGGUACUGACGCUGAGACGCGAAAGCGUGGGGAGCGAACAGG
This 253-nucleotide ribosomal RNA is filed under the name uncultured bacterium. Its description in RNAcentral is "partial 16S ribosomal RNA". It matches the Rfam family "Bacterial small subunit ribosomal RNA", at positions 524 to 776 of the family's 1533-position model. The record is from RNAcentral.